AGGAACCAACUCAAGGAGGCUGGCGUGUAGACAAUUAGUUUUAGUAUCACAGCAUCAGCCUUCUGGAAACCAGGCAGCUGGGAGUCCCUUAUCUCCAGCAAACUCUCCGGUGCAGCCUGCAAGAUGCUUGAACCCUGAAAGGUCCCUUUGGGCUGGGGAAGCAAGGAGAAGGUGAACCGCUCCCCCUGAUGCCUAAAAGAAAACUCAGGGAGAAAAAACUCCGAGACAACCUAGUUUUGAAGGUUGAACUACACUACUGGAGAAAAGACUGACAGCGUGAAGGACCAAGUCUUUCAAGUUUUAUUUUGCCAGUUGUGUAAUCUAACACAGCCAUCGAGGUUUUGGGAAUCCAACACGCUGGUGCGGAGUUCAGUUCUGGUCCACCCUGCCUGUACACAGAACAUUCU
Long non-coding RNA from Pipra filicauda (Wire-tailed manakin), 407 nucleotides. RefSeq lists it as uncharacterized. NCBI's taxonomy places the organism in Eukaryota, Metazoa, Chordata, Aves, Passeriformes, Pipridae. The record is from RefSeq and is a predicted model, not a curated record. The transcript is spliced from 4 exons.